This 1062-nucleotide ribosomal RNA is filed under the name unidentified rumen bacterium 30-46. RNAcentral's name for it is "bacterial SSU rRNA". It matches the Rfam family "Bacterial small subunit ribosomal RNA", at positions 8 to 1066 of the family's 1533-position model. The record is from RNAcentral. Lineage: Bacteria; Pseudomonadati; Bacteroidota; Bacteroidia; Bacteroidales; Bacteroidaceae.
AGAGUUUGAUCCUGGCUCAGGAUGAACGCUAGCUACAGGCUUAACACAUGCAAGUCGAGGGGAAACGGCAUUUUAGCUUGCUAAGAUGGACGUCGACCGGCGAAUGGGUGAGUAACGCGUAUCCAACCUUCCGUUAAGUAGGGAACAGCCCGGCGAAAGUCGGAUUAAUACCCUAUGUUCUUCGUCGAUGACAUCUGAAGUGAAGCAAAGGUUUACCGCUAAGGGAUGGGGAUGCGUCUGAUUAGGUAGUAGGCGGGGUAACGGCCCACCAAGGCAACGAUCAGUAGGGGUUCUGAGAGGAAGGUCCCCCACAUUGGUACUGAGACACGGACCAAACUCCUACGGGAGGCAGCAGUGAGGAAUAUUGGUCAAUGGGCGCGAGCCUGAACCAGCCAAGUAGCGUGCAGGAAGACGGCCCUAUGGGUUGUAAACUGCUUUUAUACAGGGAUAAAGUGCGCCACGUGUGGUGUAUUGCAGGUACUGUAUGAAUAAGGACCGGCUAAUUCCGUGCCAGCAGCCGCGGUAAUACGGAAGGUCCGGGCGUUAUCCGGAUUUAUUGGGUUUAAAGGGAGCGCAGGCUGAUUAUUAAGCGUGACGUGAAAUGUAGCCGCUCAACGGCUGAACUGCGUCGCGAACUGGUAGUCUUGAGUGAGUUCGAUGUAGGCGGAAUUCGUGGUGUAGCGGUGAAAUGCUUAGAUAUCACGAAGAACUCCGAUUGCGAAGGCAGCCUACAAGGCCUUUACUGACGCUAAAGCUCGAAGGUGCGGGUAUCGAACAGGAUUAGAUACCCUGGUAGUCCGCACGGUAAACGAUGGAUGCCCGCUGUUUGCGAUAUACAGUAAGCGGCCAAGCGAAAGCGUUAAGCAUCCCACCUGGGGAGUACGCCGGCAACGGUGAAACUCAAAGGAAUUGACGGGGGCCCGCACAAGCGGAGGAACAUGUGGUUUAAUUCGAUGAUACGCGAGGAACCUUACCCGGGCUUGAAUUGCUGAGGAAAGAUCCAGAGAUGGUGAUCNUCGGGGCCUCAGUGAAGGUGCUGCAUGGUUGUCGUCAGCUCGUGCC